Long non-coding RNA from Amphibalanus amphitrite, 928 nucleotides. RefSeq lists it as uncharacterized. The record is from RefSeq and is a predicted model, not a curated record. The transcript is spliced from 3 exons. NCBI's taxonomy places the organism in Eukaryota, Metazoa, Arthropoda, Thecostraca, Balanomorpha, Balanidae.
ACCUGUACACCCGCUUACACUAGCUCUCAUCAUCUAGUUCUACGUAUGUGUGUGUUUGUUUUAAUUGUAUUGCCGAUGAAUUCGGUAGACAUGCUCCGCCCGCAAACAUGUACCACAUGAUGCAGUUCACUGAAUGUAGCAGUUAAUCACUCGUAAAAAGCGGUCAUGUUUUCGUAUAGUGUAGGUAUGCAUCUAUGUAAGCAUGUGUUCACACUCAUGAGCGAGCCACACAUGAUAUUGCAUUUCCUGUUCAGUUAUAUUUUUAGCACUGGAACACGAUGCUCAUACACUGUGUUGUUAUCUUUCUUUUUUCGCCUGCUCCUUCCUCCAACUUGUGUCUUUGAGUAUUUCAGUCACAUGCUCAAACGUUCUUAAAUGCUCUCGCCAUCGGUUUACGGAUGCGUUGAAAACGGACAUGUGAUGACCAAAUUUAACAAUAUGCGGACAAUGGAUCGACUUCUUGAAGCCUGUGGACGUGAUACACCUUAUCCAUCACCAUCAAGAGAUCAACAUUUUCGAAGACACUUGCGUACGGCUGCAGUGUCCGGCGCAAUGCUGAAUGCGACCUGUUAUCUGUUGGAUCUACUCUGUGAGCCCGAACCCCAGUGCAAUGGCACUGUUCGACUAUAGCGCUGGACGUCGUCUACUUUUUGCUAGAGGGAAAGGUCAUCAUCCGUCCAUGAACUUCGGGCUGCUCACAGCUAUAUUGCCUUGGCAAGUUCUUUGAGCACUCAAUACUGGACUUGGGCUGCGAAAGCUAAUGACAAUUUGGGGAGCUUGAUAUUGCAAUGGCUAUGACGUGAAGGCUCAAUAUGACGAACAGCUGGACUAUUCACCAUUGUCAACGCUUAUGAUAGCUAAAUAUCAUUGUGCUUGGUGUACAUUCACGUCUCGUUUCCUUGCUCCAUUUGUACCUCACCGGUCGUCC